ACCGACCCCAUCGUCUCCACCCCGUAGGAACUACGAGAGAAAAGAAAGCAAAAGCGAUUCCCGUAGUAGCGGC
Molecule: transfer RNA, 73 nt
Filed under: Prunus dulcis (almond)
Lineage: Eukaryota; Viridiplantae; Streptophyta; Magnoliopsida; Rosales; Rosaceae
Description: tRNA-Ala
Source: RNAcentral